Molecule: ribosomal RNA, 423 nt
Filed under: uncultured bacterium
Lineage: Bacteria
Description: bacterial SSU rRNA
Rfam family: Bacterial small subunit ribosomal RNA
Source: RNAcentral
UCGGGAAUUUUGGGCAAUGGGCGAAAGCCUGACCCAGCAACGCCGCGUGAAGGAUGAAAUCCUUCGGGAUGUAAACUUCGCAAGAACGGGAAGAAUAAGUAAGAGUUAAUAUCUCUUACGAUGACGGUACUGUUUGUAAGCUCCGGCUAACUCCGUGCCAGCAGCCGCGGUAAUACGGGGGGAGCAAGCGUUGUUCGGAUUUACUGGGCGUAAAGGGCGCGUAGGCGGCAAUUCAAGUCAUCUGUGAAAUCUCCGGGCUUAACUCGGAACGGUCAGAUGAUACUGCUUUGCUUGAGUGCGGAAGGGGCAAUCGGAAUUCUUGGUGUAGCGGUGAAAUGCGUAGAUAUCAAGAGGAACACCUGAGGUGAAGACGGGUUGCUGGGCCGACACUGACGCUGAUAGCGCGAAAGCCAGGGGAGCAAA